This 301-nucleotide ribosomal RNA is filed under the name uncultured bacterium. RNAcentral's name for it is "partial 16S ribosomal RNA". It matches the Rfam family "Bacterial small subunit ribosomal RNA", at positions 509 to 808 of the family's 1533-position model. The record is from RNAcentral.
CAGCAGCCACGGUAAUACGUAGGGGGCGAGCGUUGUCCGAAGUUACUGGGCGUAAAGCGCGCGUAGGCGGCUUCUUAAGUCUGAGGUGAAAGGUUCAACGCUUAACGUGAACAGUGCCUUGGAUACUGGGGAGCUUGAGUAUGGGAGAGGGCAGUGGAAUGGCUGGUGUAGCGGUGAAAUGCGUAGAUAUCAGUCGGAACACCCAUGGCGAAGGCGACUCUCUGGUCUGUAACUGACGCUGAGGAGCGAAAGCGUGGGGAGCGAACAGGAUUAGAUACCCCAGUAGUCCCUGUCUCUUAUA